Molecule: non-coding RNA, 265 nt
Organism: Danio rerio (zebrafish)
Lineage: Eukaryota; Metazoa; Chordata; Actinopteri; Cypriniformes; Danionidae
Source: RefSeq, a predicted model, not a curated record
UUCCACUCAUUUUUAAGGAUCUACUUGUUUUUAAGCAUCAUUUUCCGUUUUACUGCAAUAUCAAGGUAAUUCUUAAUAUAUCUAAAUAUUUCAGCAUCUCCUGUCAGUACAAGCUCUUCUACAACUGAGUCUCAAACAGCAGCAUCAACAACAUCUCCUGCCAGUACAAGCUCUUCUACAACUGAGACUCAACCAGCAGCACUAACAACAUCUCCUGCCAGUACAAGCUCUUCUACAACUGAGACUCAAACAGCAGAACCUACAA